GUAUCCACAAUACCUAGCAGACCACCCAUGUUGUUGGGUAUGCUCCCAAGUAUAUUUUUAACAACCUUAUUUGAGGGAUUAUUGUGAACUCUGUGCAACUUUCUAAGUUUUUACAUAGGUGUACACACCUGUGAGACCCUUACCACAAUCAAGAUGAUAAAUAUAUCUGUUGUCCCCCAAAGUUUCCUGAGGCCUCUUGGGAUUCCUUCCGUCUAGCCUAUGCCCCACUUCACCUCACCUCCAGGCAACCACUGAUUUGCUGACACUAUUGAUUAGCUUGCAUUUUCUAGAAACUUAUAUAAAUACAACUAUACUGUAUAUAAGUUUGUCUGGCUUUCUUCACUCGGGGUAUUAGAGAUUCAUGUUGUUAUUCAGUUGCUCAGUUGUGUCCAGCUCUUUGUGACCCCAUGGACUGCAGCACACCAGGCUUCCCUGUCCUUUACUGAUCUCCUGGAGCUUUCUCAAACUCUUGUCCAUUGAGUUGGUGAUGCCAUCCAACUGUCUCAUCUUCUGUUGGCCCCUUCUCCUCCUGCCCUCAAUCUUUCCCAGCAUCAGGGUGUUUUCCAAAGAGUUGGCUCUUUGCAUCAGGUGGCCAAAGUAUCGGAGCUUGAGCUUCAGCAUCAGUCCUUCCAAUGAAUAUUCAGGACUGAUUUCCUUUAGCAUUGGCAGCUUUGAUCUCCGCACAUGACUAUUGGAAAAACCAUAGCUUUGAUUAUAUGGACCUUUGUCAGCAAAGUGAUGUCUGUUUUUCAAUACACUGUCUAGGUUUGUCACAGCUUUUCUUCCAAGGAGUAAACGUCUUUUAAUUUCAUGGCUGCAGUUACCAUUUGCGGUGAUUUUGGAGCCCAAGAAAAUAAAGUUUGUCACUGUUUCAUUUUUUUCGCCAUCUAUUUGCCCAUGAAGCGAUGGGACUAGAUGCCAUAAUCUGUAAGUUUUUUUAAUGUUGAGUUUUAAGCCAGCCUUUUCACUCUCCUCGUUCACCUUCAUCAGAAGGCUCUUUAGUUCCUCUUCACUUUCUGCCAUUAAGGUGGUGUCAUCUGCAUACCUGAGGUUAUUGAUACUGAGAUUCAUGUAGCAUGUAUCAAUAGUUCAUACCUUUGAAUUGCUGAAUAGUACAUCCUGUGGACAAACUGAAACCACUGGGUGGCGUUUGGGGGCGCUUCGAGGAGCUCUGUUCUCCAGUGGAGUUUUCUUGUCCGUGCCUGGUCAAGCUGC
This is a long non-coding RNA of Bos taurus (domestic cattle), 1215 nucleotides long. Lineage: Eukaryota; Metazoa; Chordata; Mammalia; Artiodactyla; Bovidae. The record is from Ensembl.